GGCCAUGGCUAUACCUGCUUGUCAAUGCCAGAACUCGUCAGAUCUUGGAAGCUAAACAAAACUGAGCCUGGUUAGUACAUGGGAGACCACUGGGAAAUACCAGCUGCCACAGUGG
This 115-nucleotide ribosomal RNA is filed under the name Periophthalmus magnuspinnatus. Lineage: Eukaryota; Metazoa; Chordata; Actinopteri; Gobiiformes; Gobiidae. The record is from RNAcentral.